AUGGCUAAAUGCACCAAUAAAGUUGGAAUUGUCGGUAAAUACAGGAUCCGCUAUGGUGCCUCCUUCCAGAAAAUGGUGAAGAAAAUUGAAACCGGCUAGCACGCCAAGUACAAUUGCUCUUUCUGUGACAAAACCAAGAUGAAAAGACGAGAUAUGGGGGUCGGGCACUGUGGUUCGUGCAUGAAGACAGUAGCUGGUGGUGGCUGAACCUACAAUACCACUUCUGCCGUCACAGCAAAGUCUACAGUCAGAAGACUGAAGGAAUUGAAAGACCAG
This 276-nucleotide long non-coding RNA is filed under the name Homo sapiens (human). Its description in RNAcentral is "non-protein coding lnc-GPRC5D-2:1". Lineage: Eukaryota; Metazoa; Chordata; Mammalia; Primates; Hominidae. The record is from RNAcentral.